CAAUAAUUGUAACGAAAAUCAUUUUAUUAUUAUCUUCAGUGGAUUCGAUAAUGCAAAGAUUAAUAUUAAGUUCGCUGUCAAAAACUUAUCAUGGAAAAAGAAGUAUGUCUGCUGAGGUUAACGUUGCACAUGUUCGCGAGAAAGCUAGAUUAUGGAGAAACGUAUUUUUUUAUGUUUUUUGCCCUUUGACAAUCUUAACUCAUAUUCAUGUGUAUAUUGCUAAGAAAAAAACACAUGGUCACAGGCCACCUUACAAAGAAUAUUCAUAUAUGAGAAAGAUUUCAAAGCCAUUCUUCUGGAAAGAUGGAAAAACUCCUUUGUUUUACAAUCCCUAUUAUAAUCCUUUGCCAGGUGUGGGCUAUGUUACUGAUGAACCUCCUAACCAUUAAUACUUAGCCAAAGUGCUAAAUAAUCUUUAUGUUUUUAUUUUGAUCAAAAUUAUAAAAAAAAUAUUAUCGGUUAGUUAUUUUAUUUAUUUGGAAUAAAGGUUAUUGUGUUUAAA
This is a long non-coding RNA of Gordionus sp. m RMFG-2023, 502 nucleotides long. RefSeq lists it as uncharacterized. The transcript has 3 exons. The record is from RefSeq and is a predicted model, not a curated record. Lineage: Eukaryota; Metazoa; Nematomorpha; Gordioida; Chordodea; Parachordodidae.